AUUGAACGCUGGCGGCAGGCCUAACACAUGCAAGUCGAGCGGAUGAAGGGAGCUUGCUCCUGGAUUCAGCGGCGGACGGGUGAGUAAUGCCUAGGAAUCUGCCUGGUAGUGGGGGAUAACGUCCGGAAACGGGCGCUAAUACCGCAUACGUCCUGAGGGAGAAAGUGGGGGAUCUUCGGACCUCACGCGAUCAGAUGAGCCUAGGUCGGAUUAGCUAGUUGGUGGGGUAAAGGCCUACCAAGGCGACGAUCCGUAACUGGUCUGAGAGGAUGAUCAGUCACACUGGAACUGAGACACGGUCCAGACUCCUACGGGAGGCAGCAGUGGGGAAUAUUGGACAAUGGGCGAAAGCCUGAUCCAGCCAUGCCGCGUGAGUGAAGAAGGUCUUCGGAUUGUAAAGCACUUUUAGUUGGGAGGAAGGGCAGUAAGUUAAUACAUUCCUGUUUUGACGUUACCAACAGAAUAAGCACCGGCUAACUUCGUG
This 484-nucleotide ribosomal RNA is filed under the name uncultured bacterium. RNAcentral's name for it is "partial 16S ribosomal RNA". It matches the Rfam family "Bacterial small subunit ribosomal RNA", at positions 30 to 507 of the family's 1533-position model. The record is from RNAcentral.